AUACUUAGCUGGCAGGGGAGAUAAAAAUGAUCACGAAGGUGGUUUUCCCAGGCCGAGGCUUACCCAUUGCACUCCAGAUGUGCUGAUCCCUGCCAUUUCCCCAAAUGUAGGAAACUCAACUGCAUCAUUUGUGGUAGUGGGGGACUGAGUUUGUACACUCCCCUA
Molecule: small nuclear RNA, 165 nt
Filed under: Erinaceus europaeus (western European hedgehog)
Lineage: Eukaryota; Metazoa; Chordata; Mammalia; Eulipotyphla; Erinaceidae
Description: U1 spliceosomal RNA
Rfam family: U1 spliceosomal RNA
About the family: U1 is a small nuclear RNA (snRNA) component of the spliceosome (involved in pre-mRNA splicing). Its 5' end forms complementary base pairs with the 5' splice junction, thus defining the 5' donor site of an intron.
Source: Rfam by way of RNAcentral